AACGCUGGCGGCGUGCCUAACACAUGCAAGUCGAGCGAAUGAAGUUCCUUCGGGAACGGAUUUAGCGGCGGACGGGUGAGUAACACGUGGGCAACCUGCCUCAUAGAGGGGAAUAGCCUUCCGAAAGGGAGAUUAAUACCACAUAAGAUUGUAGUACCGCAUGGUACAGCAAUUAAAGGAGCAAUCCGCUAUGAGAUGGGCCCGCGGCGCAUUAGCUAGUUGGUGAGGUAACGGCUCACCCAAGGCGACGAUGCGUAGCCGACCUGAGAGGGUGAUCGGCCACAUUGGGACUGAGACACGGCCCAGACUCCUACGGGAGGCAGCAGUGGGGAAUAUUGCACAAUGGGGGAAACCCUGAUGCAGCAACGCCGCGUGAGUGAUGACGGCCUUCGGGUUGUAAAGCUCUGUCUUCAGGGACGAUAAUGACGGUACCUGGGGAGGAAGCCACGGCUAACUACGUG
Molecule: ribosomal RNA, 461 nt
Filed under: uncultured bacterium
Lineage: Bacteria
Description: bacterial SSU rRNA
Rfam family: Bacterial small subunit ribosomal RNA
Source: RNAcentral